GCCCUGUGGAAAAGCCCUGUUACUGGUUCAAAGAAUUACCACAGAGGAAGAGAGACAACAAACAGAAUCCUGGUUCCACAAAAUCACCUCAGCACAAACAUUCACAGCUAGUUAUUGUAAAAAUAAUAAUAAAAAAAGAUAAGAAAUUCACCAUAAAUCUGUUUUCCAAUCAGUUUUGAUGGAGGGUGAAAUUUAACCAUAUGCUUGCUGAGUGCUUCCGAUCUUAUGCCCUACUGUGACAGUAACUAAACAUGACCUUUGCUCAGCUGAGGGAGUUCUGAGGAGACCGUUUCAGUAAGUGUACUCAUGUCUUUCCAAAGAGUUUUGCAACAAUAUCAAAAAAAGGUGUUACAGCAGUUAGUUAUGCGAACUAUUGGCAGGGUUCGACUUAUUUGCAUCAAUCAGCAUUGGCCUUUAGCAACUUUUCAGCAGAGAUCCAACACCAGAGCUCUGAAUAUUGUGUGUGGGUACGAAUGUGACCUGCCAUUACACACACAGUGUCUACUGGCUAAUUUCUCUGGGUGUAGCAUUCAGUGUCUGUGGGCAAAAGUUACACUCUACUAACUCCAGCUCACUACAAACAAGAUUCUUUACAUCCACUAUGAAUAACAUGUUGACUGUGCACAAUAUCUAGAAUCUAUUAUCUUUUGCUGUGACGGAGUAUUAGGGCCACAAGUGACCAAACAAAUUGAGAUUUUGAGAAUACAGUUGUACCAUUUUAAGAAAAAAAAAACAACAUUUUAUACGUUCUCGAUUUAUGACAAACUAUGAAAAUAAA
This is a long non-coding RNA of Thalassophryne amazonica, 778 nucleotides long. RefSeq lists it as uncharacterized. The transcript is spliced from 2 exons. Lineage: Eukaryota; Metazoa; Chordata; Actinopteri; Batrachoidiformes; Batrachoididae. The record is from RefSeq and is a predicted model, not a curated record.